UAGGGAAUAUUAGUAAUGGGCGAAAGCCUGAACUAGCAACACCGCGUGUGCGAAGAAGGCCUUCGGGUUGUAAAGCACUUUUUGAGAGGAUGAGGAAGGACGGUACUCUCAGAAUAAGUCUCGGCUAACUACGUGCCAGCAGCCGCGGUAACACGUAGGAGGCAAACGUUAUCCGGAUUUACUGGGCGUAAAGCGCGUGUAGGUGGUUUGGUAAGUAGAGCGUGAAAGCUCCUGGCUCAACUGGGAGGGGCCGUUCUAAACUACAGAACUAGAGGAUGGUAGAGGGAGGUGGAAUUCCAGGUGUAGCGGUGGAAUGCGCAGAUAUCUGGAGGAACACCAGUGGCGAAGGCGGCCUCCUGGACCAUUCCUGACACUCAGACGCGAAAGCUAGGGUAGCAAACG
Molecule: ribosomal RNA, 402 nt
Filed under: uncultured prokaryote
Description: bacterial SSU rRNA
Rfam family: Bacterial small subunit ribosomal RNA
Source: RNAcentral